CCUUCCACGCACGCCGCCCCGCCCGCCUCUGCCUCCGCAGCAGCAGCAGCAGCAGCAGCAUCCGCGUCGGCAGCGGAAUCACGGAGGCGCUGGGUGUCGAGUCCGAGGCCGGCGUGCGUAGGGGCUAGGCUGGCAACCCGAGCGGCGCAGUGCCCCCCACUGUCAGCAGCUACCUACUGUAAGUCAACUGCUAACCUCCUUCCCUUCGGCGGGAGGGUGAGUGGACUCCAACCAGUUGUGCUGCACCGAGCUGCCCCGGUACUAGGAAGAUGGUCGUGUCGCUGUGGUACGUGUGGCCUCUCCUCUUCUGCAGCCCCUGCCUGCUCAUAGAGAUUCCUGACGAAUUGAUGGAGCCACCUGUCAUCACAGAACAGUCUCCACGGCGCCUGGUUGUCUUCCCAACAGAUGACAUAAGCCUCAAAUGUGAGGCCAGAGGCAGACCUCAAGUGGAGUUCCGCUGGACGAAAGAUGGCAUCCAUUUCAAACCCAAGGAAGAAGUGGGUGUGGUGGUGCAUGAGGCACCUUAUUCUGGAUCCUUCACCAUCGAAGGCAACAACAGCUUUGCCCAGAGGUUUCAGGGCAUCUAUCGCUGCUAUGCCAGCAAUAAGCUAGGAACUGCCAUGUCCCACGAGAUCCAGCUUGUGGCUGAGGGUGCCCCCAAGUGGCCGAAGGAGACUGUAAAGCCUGUGGAAGUGGAGGAAGGGGAGUCAGUAGUUCUGCCUUGCAACCCUCCACCCAGUGCAGCCCCACUCAGGAUCUACUGGAUGAACAGCAAGAUUUUACACAUCAAACAAGAUGAGCGGGUGUCCAUGGGCCAGAACGGAGACCUGUAUUUUGCCAAUGUGCUGACCUCAGACAAUCUCUCGGACUAUAUCUGCAAUGCCCACUUCCCUGGGACCCGGACCAUCAUUCAGAAGGAACCUAUUGACCUUCGGGUCAAGCCCACUAACAGCAUGAUUGACCGGAAGCCACGCCUGCUGUUCCCUACAAACUCCAGCAGCCACCUGGUGGCCUUGCAGGGGCAGUCAUUGAUCCUGGAAUGUAUUGCUGAGGGAUACCCUACACCCACCAUCAAGUGGCUGCACCCCAGUGACCCUAUGCCGACACACCGUGUUAUCUACCAAAACCACAAUAAGACCCUACAGCUACUCAAUGUGGGUGAGGAGGAUGAUGGAGAGUAUACCUGCCUUGCUGAAAACUCACUGGGCAGUGCACGGCAUGCCUACUAUGUCACUGUGGAAGCUGCCCCAUACUGGCUGCAGAAGCCCCAGAGCCAUUUGUAUGGACCAGGAGAGACUGCUCGCCUAGACUGCCAAGUCCAGGGCAGGCCCCAGCCAGAGAUCACCUGGAGCAUCAAUGGAAUGUCUAUGGAGAAGGUGAACAAGGACCAGAAGUACCGGAUUGAGCAGGGGUCUCUGAUCCUGAGUAACGUGCAACCAAGUGACACAAUGGUGACCCAGUGUGAGGCCCGCAACCAACAUGGGCUCCUGCUAGCCAAUGCCUACAUCUAUGUUGUCCAACUGCCAGCCAGGAUCCUAACAAAAGACAAUCAGACGUACAUGGCAGUUGAGGGCAGCACUGCUUACUUGCUGUGCAAGGCCUUUGGAGCUCCCGUUCCCAGUGUCCAGUGGGUGGAUGAGGAAGGAACCACGGUGCUUCAGGAUGAACGGUUUUUCCCUUAUGCCAAUGGGACCCUGGGUAUCAGAGACCUCCAGGCCAAUGAUACUGGACGCUAUUUCUGCCAGGCUGCGAAUGACCAGAAUAAUGUGACCAUUUUGGCUAACCUGCAGGUUAAAGAAGCAACCCAGAUCAUACAGGGGCCCAGGAGUGCAAUUGAGAAGAAAGGUGCAACGGUGACGUUCAUAUGCCAGGCCUCCUUUGACCCCUCUUUGCAGGCCAGCAUCACUUGGCGUGGAGAUGGCCGAGACCUCCAGGAACGCGGGGACAGUGACAAGUAUUUCAUAGAAGAUGGGAAGCUGAUCAUCCAGAGCCUGGACUACAGUGACCAGGGCAACUACAGCUGUGUAGCCAGCACUGAAUUGGAUGAGGUCGAGAGCAGGGCACAGCUCUUAGUGGUGGGGAGCCCUGGGCCAGUGCCCCACCUGGAACUGUUUGACCGCCACCUGCUGAAGCAGAGCCAGGUGCACUUAUCUUGGAGCCCUGCUGAAGACCACAACUCUCCCAUCGAGAAGUAUGACAUUGAAUUUCAGGACAAGGAAAUGGCUCCCGAGAAAUGGUACAGUCUGGGCAAGGUGCCAGGAAAUCAGACCUCUACCACCCUCAAACUGUCCCCCUAUGUCCACUACACCUUUCGGGUCACUGCCAUCAACAAAUAUGGCCCCGGGGAGCCCAGCCCUGUCUCUGAGACUGUGGUCACACCUGAAGCAGCCCCAGAGAAGAACCCUGUGGAUGUGAAAGGGGAAGGGAAUGAGACCAACAAUAUGGUCAUCACAUGGAAGCCCCUCCGGUGGAUGGAUUGGAAUGCUCCCCAGAUUCAGUACCGUGUGCAGUGGCGCCCACAGGGCAAGCAGGAGACCUGGAAGGAACAGACCGUGAGCGACCCCUUCCUGGUGGUGUCUAACACUUCCACCUUUGUGCCUUAUGAGAUCAAAGUCCAGGCAGUGAACAACCAGGGCAAGGGCCCUGAGCCCCAGGUCACCAUUGGCUACUCAGGGGAAGACUACCCCCAGGUGAGCCCUGAGCUGGAAGACAUCACAAUCUUCAACUCAAGCACUGUGCUGGUCAGAUGGAGGCCCGUGGACUUGGCCCAGGUUAAGGGCCACCUCAGGGGCUACAAUGUGACAUACUGGUGGAAAGGCAGUCAGAGAAAGCACAGCAAGAGGCAUGUCCACAAAAGCCACAUGGUGGUACCUGCCAACACCACCAGUGCCAUCCUCAGUGACUUGCGUCCUUACAGCUCCUAUCACGUGGAGGUACAGGCCUUUAAUGGGCGAGGCUUGGGACCUGCAAGUGAAUGGACCUUCAGCACCCCAGAGGGAGUGCCUGGUCACCCUGAGGCAUUACACCUGGAGUGCCAGUCGGACACGAGCCUGCUACUGCACUGGCAGCCACCACUCAGCCACAACGGAGUGCUCACCGGCUACCUUCUCUCUUAUCACCCCUUGGAUGGGGAAAGCAAGGAACAGUUGUUCUUCAACCUUUCGGACCCAGAGCUCCGAACUCAUAAUCUCACCAACCUCAACCCCGAUCUGCAGUACCGCUUCCAGCUACAAGCUACCACCCAGAAGGGCCCUGGUGAGGCCAUCGUGCGUGAAGGAGGCACCAUGGCCCUGUUUGGCAAGCCAGAUUUUGGCAAUAUCUCAGUCACAGCAGGGGAAAACUACAGCGUGGUCUCCUGGGUCCCUCGGGAGGGCCAGUGCAACUUCAGGUUCCACAUCUGGUUCAAAGCUUUGCCAGAAGGGAAAGUGAGCCCUGACCGCCAACCUCAGCCUCAGUAUGUAAGCUACAAUCAGAGCUCCUACACACAGUGGGACCUACAGCCUGACACCAAGUAUGAGAUCCGCCUGAUGAAGGAAAAGGUGGUCCUGCACUAUCUGGCUGUGAAGACAAAUGGCACUGGCCCCGUGCGAGUUUCUACUACAGGUAGCUUCGCCUCUGAGGGCUGGUUCAUCGCCUUUGUCAGCGCUAUCAUUCUCUUGCUCCUCAUCCUGCUCAUUCUCUGCUUCAUCAAGCGCAGCAAGGGUGGCAAGUACUCAGUGAAAGACAAGGAGGACACUCAGGUGGAUUCUGAGGCGCGGCCCAUGAAAGACGAGACCUUUGGCGAAUACAGGUGAGCAGGGGAAGGAACAGGGGUUUUGACCGGGCUCUGCCUGACCUCUUCUUACCCAGCUCCUCUCUCUUUUCUCUGCUUCGGGGUGACUUCAGGUCCCUGGAGAGUGACAAUGAAGAGAAGGCCUUCGGCAGCAGCCAGCCAUCUCUUAAUGGAGACAUCAAACCCCUAGGCAGUGAUGACAGCCUGGCCGAUUAUGGGGGCAGUGUGGACGUCCAGUUCAAUGAGGAUGGCUCUUUCAUCGGCCAGUACAGUGGCAAAAAAGAGAAGGAGGCAGCAGGAGGCAAUGACAGCUCAGGGGCUACCUCUCCUAUCAACCCUGUAGUAGCCCUAGAAUAGUAAGGGUUAGCAAGGUGAGGCAGGCCAAGCUGGGCCAAGGGCCAGAGGUGCAGGAGAGCCGAGGGGCCAAGGCACCUGGCCUAUGCACCAUGACACUUACCUGCUGACCUUGGGAUUGAGGCCCCUUCCUCUUUCCAUAGCCCAUGGAAGACUUGACUGGAGCAGUGGAGAGGAACUGUGGCUUCAAGUCACCUUUUUAAGCACCCGCUACCCUUUUAUUGCCAAAACCCAGCUGCACCCUUUCCUGGGCAUACGCUGCUUUGCCCCAGCUUGGGGCAGUUCACUCCCAUAUCAGGGAUCUUCAGGUGCUGCCUUGCCGACCCAUUUAGGCAGGGAGGCCACAGUUUGGGGGAGAUGACAAAGGAGUGUCCUCUGAAGCAUCUCUGAGAUGCUGUCUUCUCACUCUCUAACUGGAGACAGGCAUGAUGGGGUCUCCUCAGGACUAGAUUGGCACCUCUUUUUUCUCCAGCUACUCCCUGGCUAGCCUGACUGGGGACAGAACUCUGUCUCCACCAUCUGCUCCCCUUUCUUUGCCAUUUUUGCUCCAAUCAGGAUAGGGAACUGGGCAAGUUGGCCACCUGCAUAAAAGAGGCCAUCUGGAAAGCCCAGAGUCCCUCCCUCACCUUUGUACACUGGGUUCACACCCUCCUCCCUUUGCUGUUCCACUUUUCAGGACAUACAUAAACACACACACACACACACACGCACUUACAUUGACUUCGGUACCCACCAGACAACAUCAAAGUGGCCUCUGUCACUGCCAGAGAUAGGCACACCUCUUCCUACUGGCACUGGCUGGGCUUCUCCCUGCCACAGCCAUUCCCCAGGACCCUUUUGCAACCCUGCCUGCCCCCAGUUCUUGUCCUCAGUCCCUUCCCCUGUCCCCCACGUUAGGAAUGUAAAUACACCAUAACUUUGAAAGUUUGCCCUUGCCCUUUGCCCAUAUGCCACUAGUGUGUAAGCAGAUGUCUGAGUCUCUAGGUGGUUUCUCUGUUUUAUAGCAGUUAGCUUUGAUGGUCCCACACCAAGAAAAAGAAAAGCAGACAAAAAGGGGAAGAAAGCAAAGAUUGGUUCUCUCAGUGCAGCUGUGGCUUCCCUGUGUGCUUUUGCUUGGUCUGUUGAUGAGCCCGCUACAAAAAAACAAAAGUAUAUAUAUAUAUGUACAUAAUAUCAGAAUUAUAACAGGCAAAUAAAAACCUGGA
RNA transcript from Chionomys nivalis (European snow vole), 5331 nucleotides. It is a transcript of the gene named L1 cell adhesion molecule, with no coding region annotated. Lineage: Eukaryota; Metazoa; Chordata; Mammalia; Rodentia; Cricetidae. The transcript has 27 exons. The record is from RefSeq and is a predicted model, not a curated record.